Molecule: transfer RNA, 76 nt
Filed under: Citrobacter freundii
Lineage: Bacteria; Pseudomonadati; Pseudomonadota; Gammaproteobacteria; Enterobacterales; Enterobacteriaceae
Also listed under: 9 other names
Description: tRNA-???(tttg)
Rfam family: tRNA
About the family: Transfer RNA (tRNA) molecules are approximately 80 nucleotides in length. Their secondary structure includes four short double-helical elements and three loops (D, anti-codon, and T loops).
Source: RNAcentral
UGGGGUAUCGCCAAGCGGUAAGGCACCGGUUUUUUGAUACCGGCAUUCCCUGGUUCGAAUCCAGGUACCCCAGCCA